This is a non-coding RNA of Bacteroides fluxus YIT 12057, 78 nucleotides long. Lineage: Bacteria; Pseudomonadati; Bacteroidota; Bacteroidia; Bacteroidales; Bacteroidaceae. The record is from Rfam.
ACGAGCCGUGUGCGGUGAAAGUCGCAUGCACGGUUCUUGAAGGGGAAAGCGGGGGAAACCCCGCAGACCUACUUAGAA